AAAAACCAAAUCGCCCUUCGGGGCUUUUUGGUGAUUCAUGAUAACUUUACGGAUCGCAUAGCCUUGCGCUGGCGACGGUUCAUUCAAAUUUCUGCCCUAUCAACUUUCGAUGGUAAGGUAUUGGCUUACCAUGGUUUCAACGGGUAACGGGGAAUUAGGGUUCGAUUCCGGAGAGGGAGCCUGAGAAACGGCUACCACAUCCAAGGAAGGCAGCAGGCGCGCAAAUUACCCAAUCCCGACACGGGGAGGUAGUGACAAUAAAUACUGAUACAGGGCUCUUUUGGGUCUUGUAAUUGGAAUGAGUACAAUUUAAACCUCUUAACGAGGAACAAUUGGAGGGCAAGUCUGGUGCUCAGCAGCCGCGGUAAUUCCAGCUCCCAAUAGCGUAUAUUAAAGUUUGUUGCAGUUAAAAAGCUCGUAGUUGAAACUUGGGUCUGGCUGGCGGGUCCCGCCUCACCGCGUGCACUCGUCCGGCCGGGCCUUCCUUCUGAAGAACCUCAUGCCCUUCACUGGGCGUGUUGGGGAAUCAGGACUUUUACUUUGAAAAAAUUAGAGUGUUCAAAGCAGGCCUUUGCUCGAAUACGUUAGCAUGGAAUAAUAAAAUAGGGCGUGCGUUUCUAUUUUGUUGGUUUCUAGAGACGCCGCAAUGAUUAACAGGAACAGUCGGGGGCAUCAGUAUUCAGUUGUCAGAGGUGAAAUUCUUGGAUUUACUGAAGACUAACUACUGCGAAAGCAUUUGCCAAGGAUGUUUUCAUUAAUCAGUGAACGAAAGUUAGGGGAUCGAAGACGUAUCCA
This 795-nucleotide ribosomal RNA is filed under the name fungal sp. NIOCC F57. Its description in RNAcentral is "SSU rRNA". It matches the Rfam family "Eukaryotic small subunit ribosomal RNA", at positions 217 to 1012 of the family's 1831-position model. The record is from RNAcentral. Lineage: Eukaryota; Fungi.